CACACCAUGAGAGCUGACUGUACCAGAAGUCGCUCGGCUAACCCUGGGUUCGCCUUUGGGAGGCAGGCGCCUAAGGUAUGGUUGGUGAUUGGGGUG
Molecule: ribosomal RNA, 96 nt
Filed under: uncultured bacterium
Lineage: Bacteria
Description: partial 16S ribosomal RNA
Source: RNAcentral